GGGACACCUUCCAUAGGUGCUCCUUCCAGGGUGCUCCAAGCCUUGUCCAGCCUGGCCUUGGACACUCCCAGGGAUGGAGUUGGUGCCAUGGGAGGAAUCUCCCUCUGUGCAUAACAAUUAAUUUUGGAGAUUUCAGGGAAUAAUACGUUGGAAAAGCUGCUGUCCAGUCCAGGGGCUGGAAUUUUGCUCCAAGGUGGCAGGGUGAGGUUUUCUCCCUCUGAACCUGAUGCAGGAGAGAUGGAAAACUCCUGGAGAGCCGUGACAGGAGCCCAGGGCAGGAUGGAGGGAUGGACCAGGAUGGAAAGGAGGAGGAUCAGGAGCCUUCGUGUCCCUCCUGAUCCCUUGUAAUCCCCAUUUUCCCGACCACUCAACCAGGAGCCAGGGUUGGUUACUUGUGUUUUUCCAGCUGCCAAGUCCAUUUUUCCUGCCUGGAUCACAUUCAGGACACUCCUUUCCUGGAGCUGAACCAGAUUUCAGGGAAGUUGUGUAACCCCAUAAAUGUUUAACGAGGGAAAGGAGAAGGAAAGGCCACAGGGAAGCAAAGACCAGGCUGGGAUCCAUCCCCUGCCCUGAGCAGGGAGGUUUGGGGUGAAACACACCCUCAGGAGCCCAACUUGGGCCAAAGCAUCCCCCUGACACGCAGGGAACAUGGGAAAUUGGGGGGAUAAGAUGGAAAAUCUCUGGUUAUUCACCGGGACAAGGUAGGAGCGAUCCAGGGGUUGGGAGGUGCUCCAGCUUCAAACAAGGUGGGAGUUACCACUUGGACAAAGUGUUUGAUUGUUAUUAUGAUUAUGCCCCACCCCUGGAAGUGGUGCUCCAUCCCUGGAAGUGUCCAAGGCCAGGUUGGACGGAGCUUGGAGCACCCUGGGCCGGGGGAAGGUGUCCCAGGGGGUGGAACCGGGUGAACUUUAAGGCCCCUUCCCACCCACAUUCCAUGGUUCCAUUUGGGAGUCAUGGAUUAACACCCAGACAGCUGCUCUCCGAGGCGUCUCUGUCUGCUCCUGGCUCUCCCAUCCCGUGGGAUCAUUGAUUUUCAUGGAUGUUUGGAGGGAGGCAGCGCUCCUGGAGGGUCCAGAGGGAGGAGGAGGAGCUGUGGAAUCGGGGAGGUUACUCCACACCUUAAAUAUUUCAGUUCGACUCGAGAGGAGCAGGAAAAAAAAGGGAUGGAAAAAGCCAAGUGCUGGAGUGUUGUGACAGCAGCGUGUCCUGGCUGUUCCCAGGGAAUGGGGGGACCACGGAUCCGUGGGAAGGGAUCUGUCCCCUCCUUGGGGAUGCUGGGAGCAGCCACAGUCCUGCCUGUCCCCAACUGCUCCAGCCCCCAAGGGAAUAACUGAUUUUAGGAUCGUG
Molecule: long non-coding RNA, 1347 nt
Organism: Chiroxiphia lanceolata (lance-tailed manakin)
Lineage: Eukaryota; Metazoa; Chordata; Aves; Passeriformes; Pipridae
Exons: 2
Source: RefSeq, a predicted model, not a curated record